Bactrocera tryoni is the source of this 1326-nucleotide long non-coding RNA. RefSeq lists it as uncharacterized. The record is from RefSeq and is a predicted model, not a curated record. The transcript is spliced from 3 exons. Lineage: Eukaryota; Metazoa; Arthropoda; Insecta; Diptera; Tephritidae.
CUGUGGACGAAUCAAAGACCUGCGCAGCGGUAUCAUUCACCUCUAAUCAUCACACCACCCUCAAUGCCGUAUUAUUAACUAUAAUGUUAAGUAUUAAAUCUUAUACCCAAAUGUUACAAUAUUCCAGGCGCUGAACCCUUCUCAAGGAUUGCCAAGGGAUUAACUAAGUGAAUUGUCGCUUGAACCACCACAAAAGGUAUAGUUUAAAUUAAAGUAAUGGCACGUUCAAAAUUUAAAUUUGAAAAGUAAACACGCGUUUGUAUGUGUAUUCACACGCGAAAAUUUGGGUCAAUAGCAUUGGGACACAAUAUGGCAUUGUUAGCUGUCAGUGUGAUAAGAGCUGCGAUCUACCAGUUGGUACCUCUUUGUUCUAGCCGUUGAUGUAUAUACACCUAACGUCGUAGCGGUUAAAGUGAGAGUCCUUUGGGGCCCAAUAACGCCACUAAUGCGAUUACCAAUGUGGAAGGAAUCGGCAAAUGUCCUUGUUGUCAAAGGUAACCCAGGCAAAGCAAAACCGGCGAGUCAAGUGCAAAAGGGAAAUUCUAUUGAUUUAUGACCCAAAGAAAUAGGGUGAAGUCAAAUGCUAUCGGUUGAUGGCUGAUGUUCAGAGCAUACUGAAGUUAUGGAGUGAACGCUUCUCCAGCGUAACACCAGGAGAUGGCGAACCCGAUUCCUCAAUCGAUGACGAUGGUAUAAAUGUUCCAUUGGCCGACGAUGAUGAGGUUCGAAUAGCAAUUAUCGGAUGAUUGAAACCUCAGUGUGCUCUGCCCAAUCCACAAAAUCUGUGCCAUUUACCAAGUAAUAAGUCUCCUUAAUAUAAGGUCUUAUCGAGCGUAGGGUGUGAAAGACUACAACAACAGACCUUAUCAGCGUGGCUUUCGACCCGGAAAAUCUACCAUCGAUAAGAUUUUUAACAUGCGUUAAAUCUUGAAAAAGACUCGUGAAAUGGAAAUCGACACACACUACCUCUUCAUCGAUUUUAAAGCCGUCUUCGACAGCACGAAAAGUAGCUGCCUUUAUGCCGUCAUGUCUGAAUUUGGUAUCGGCUAUACGGCUGCAUAAGCUGACAUUGAGCAACACCAAAAGAUCCGUCUGUGUCGGGAAGGGUCUCUCAAAGCCGUUCGAUACCAAACGAAUUUUCAGACAAGAAGACUCUUUAUCGUCUGUGUUCUUCAAUCUAUUGCUGGAUAAAAUAAUUCGAGCUGCAGAGAUAAAUAGAGAAGGUACAAUCUUCUAUAAGAGUGUACAGCUAUUGGCGUACCCCGAUGAUAUUGAUAUCAUUGUUUUCAUCAACCGCGCGUUAAAGAGGGUAUAAAAAAACAGUUA